This 467-nucleotide ribosomal RNA is filed under the name uncultured bacterium. RNAcentral describes it as "partial 16S ribosomal RNA". It matches the Rfam family "Bacterial small subunit ribosomal RNA", at positions 28 to 507 of the family's 1533-position model. The record is from RNAcentral.
GAUGAACGCUGGCGGCGCGCCUAACACAUGCAAGUCGAACGAUUAAAGCACCUUCGGGUGUGUAUAAAGUGGCGAACGGCUGAGUAACACGUGGGCAACCUGCCCCUUUCAUUGGGAUAGCCACGGGAAACCGUGGAUAAUACCGAAUACUUCGAGACUUCCGCAUGGAAGACUCGAGAAAGCUCCGGCGGGGAGGGAUGGGCCCGCGGCCUGUUAGCUUGUUGGUGGGGUAACGGCCUACCAAGGCAAUGAUGGGUAGCUGGGUUGAGAGACCGACCAGCCAGAUUGGGACUGAGACACGGCCCAGACUCCUACGGGAGGCAGCAGUGGGGAAUCUUGCACAAUGGGCGAAAGCCUGAUGCAGCGACGCCGCGUGCGGGAUGAAGGCCUUCGGGUUGUAAACCGCUUCCAGCAGGGACGAGGCGAAAGUGACGGUACCUGCAGAAGAAGCCCCGGCUAACUACGUG